RNAcentral lists this ribosomal RNA (267 nucleotides) under uncultured prokaryote. Its description in RNAcentral is "partial 16S ribosomal RNA". It matches the Rfam family "Bacterial small subunit ribosomal RNA", at positions 524 to 792 of the family's 1533-position model. The record is from RNAcentral.
UACGGAGGAUCCUAGUGUUAUCCGGAUUUAUUGGGUUUAAAGGGAGCGUAGGCGGGAGGUCAAGUCAGCUGUGAAAUGUAUCUGCUUAACGGGUACACUGCAGUUGAAACUGGUUUUCUUGAGUGCGUAAGAGGCAGGCGGAAUUCGUUGUGUAGCGGUGAAAUGCUUAGAUAUGACGAGGAACUCCUAUUGCGAAGGCAUCUUGCUGGGUCGUUACUGACGCUGAUGCUCGAAGGUGCGGGGAUCAAACAGGAUUAGAUACCCGUA